Molecule: ribosomal RNA, 253 nt
Filed under: uncultured bacterium
Lineage: Bacteria
Description: partial 16S ribosomal RNA
Rfam family: Bacterial small subunit ribosomal RNA
Source: RNAcentral
UACGAAAGGUCCAAGCGUUAAUCGGAAUUACUGGGCGUAAAGCGUGCGUAGACGGUUAUAUAAGUCGGGUGUGAAAGCCCCGGGCUCAACCUGGGAAUUGCAUUCGAGACUGCAUAGCUAGGGUGCGGAAGAGGGAAGCGGAAUUUCCGGUGUAGCGGUGAAAUGCGUAGAUAUCGGAAGGAACAUCAGUGGCGAAAGCGGCUUCCUGGUCCAGCACCGACGUUCAGGCACGAAAGCGUGGGGAGCAAACAGG